Salvia hispanica is the source of this 414-nucleotide non-coding RNA. The record is from RefSeq and is a predicted model, not a curated record. Lineage: Eukaryota; Viridiplantae; Streptophyta; Magnoliopsida; Lamiales; Lamiaceae.
GCAGAAAUCGAGAGUUCAAGGGUGCUGCCUAAUUCUCUUCCAAUAAGCAUCCCAAAUCAUAGAGACGAGUCUGCCAAGUCCAAGGAAACUACUCCUUUCAGUCCCACAAUUUCACAAUUCAAUAUCGUGUUUUGAGGUUAUCUCCGCAAGUUAAGGUCGGAGCGAGAAAUUCAAGUUAAAGAAAUUAAACGAACGAGGUUGAGCAGUGACGGUGGAGAAUGCUGAGCAGAGUUAUGAUUUUCCUUUUAUUUUAAGUAGAGGCUCUCGGCGGUGCAUGUCUCCAUACAUGUCACCGUGUUCAUUCCGCUGCGUACUAAGGUUCUAGAUGACAUCGACUGUUACUCUGAUAAUUAGUUAUUAAAAUGUAAGAUUUUCAUUCAAGUUCUGGUAAUUAAGAAUUGAUUUGAAAUUGUU